UAACUUUCAACAACGGAUCUCUUGGUUCUGGCAUCGAUGAAGAACGCAGCGAAAUGCGAUAAGUAAUGUGAAUUGCAGAAUUCAGUGAAUCAUCGAAUCUUUGAACGCACAUUGCGCCCCUCGGUAUUCCGGGGGGCAUGCCUGUUCGAGCGUCAUUA
Molecule: ribosomal RNA, 158 nt
Filed under: Cladonia foliacea
Lineage: Eukaryota; Fungi; Ascomycota; Lecanoromycetes; Lecanorales; Cladoniaceae
Description: 5.8S ribosomal RNA
Rfam family: 5.8S ribosomal RNA
About the family: 5.8S ribosomal RNA (5.8S rRNA) is a component of the large subunit of the eukaryotic ribosome. It is transcribed by RNA polymerase I as part of the 45S precursor that also contains 18S and 28S rRNA.
Source: RNAcentral